CGUAAGGCAGACAACGAAUGCCUAGGAUACUGAAGCCGAAGAAGGACGUACGUGGCCACGAAAGUCGUCGGGGAGCUGCCAAGAAGCUUUGAUCCGGCGGUGUCCGAAUGGGGAACCCCCCUCUUUAUGAGGACCCCGCCUAUGGCGGGGGGGGCACGCCCUGAACUGAAACAUCUAAGUAAGGGCAGGAAAAGAAAUCAACGUUCGCGCAAGCGAGAGAGAUUCCGUAAGUAAGCGGUGAGCGAAAGCGGAACAGCCUAAACCCCGCCGCAAGGCGAGGGUGUUGCGGGAAGGCCGAGUGACCGGCAAGGGUAGUCGAACUGUCUGGAAAGGCAGGCUAUAAAACGUGACAGCCGUGUAGGCGAAACCCAAGCCGGCGUGAAGCCGAAUUCCCAAGUACCAUGAGGCACAUACCUUGUGGGAAUCCGGGGUGACCACACUCCAAGGCUAAAUACUUCAGUGUACCGAUAGUGAACUAGUACCGUGAGGGAAAGGCGAAAAGAAGGGUGAGAAACCUAGUGAAAUAGAACCUGAAAUUGUCUGCUGUCAAGCAGACGGAGUCCCGCCUUUGGCGGGAUGACGUCGUGCCUAUUGAAGAAUGAUCCGGCGAGUUUUCGUUACAUGCAUGUCUAAUCCGUCUAAAGCGGAGGAGGCGUAGUGAAAGCGAGGGUUAACAGCCCGUAUAUUGCAUGUGAUGGAAGACCCGAAACCUGGUGAGCUAACCAUGAGCAGGGUGAACCCCGUCGAAAGACGGGGGGAGGCCCGCACUCGUCAGAGUUACAAAUCUGUGAGAUGACUUGUGGUUAGGGGUAAUAUGCCAAUCGAACCAGGAGAUAGCUGGCUCUCCCCGAAAUAUAUAUAGGUAUAGCCUUAAGACUAACUUUCAAGAGGUAGAGCACUGGAUGGGCAGGGCAUCUUUAGGUGUCCUAUUCAAUCAAACUCCGAAUUCUUGAAAGCUACAUCUUAGGAGUCAGAACGACCCGGCUAAGCGGGCCGCUCUAAAGGGAAACAACCCAGACUGUCGUCUAAGGCCUCUAAAUGAAUGCUCAGUGUUGAACGAAGUCAAAUUCCUCAGACAGCCAGGAGGUUGGCUCAGAAGCAGCCAUCCUUUAAAGAAAGCGUAACAGCUCACUGGUCGACCUUGGAAUUUGGCGCGGAAAAUGAACCGAGGCUUAAGCAUUCUGCCGAAGACACAGAUUUUUUUGACGUUCGCGUCAAAAAAGUGGUAGGGGAGCGUUGAAGGAGCAGUGAAGUCCCUCUGUAAAGAUCGGGAUGGAGCGACUUCAAGUGAGAAUGCCGGAAUGAGUAGCGUAAGCCCGAUGAGAAUUCGGGCCGCCGAAACCCCAAGGUUUUCCCAGCCAUGUUGUUCAGCUGGGAGUGAGUCGGCACCUAAGGUGAGGCCUAAGUUGGCGUAACCGAUGGACGAGCCGUUAACAUUCGGCUACAUGAUAAGUAUCGUUAUAAAAUCAGGGAUGGACAAAAUGAGAAUAUCCGAACGCACGUAGUGAAUGUGGCGUUUAAGCAGCAAGACAGUUAGGCUUGGAAAAACCGGUCUGACGUUUAAUUGAGCUGUGAUGAGAAGUCUGGCGAGAAAUCAACGGGCAACUCGGACGGUUUUUGUUUUCCAGAAAAGAUUCGUGGUGAGAUAUUUAUUAUGCCGUACCGCAAACCGACACUGGUGGGGUGGUCGAGUAGACCAAGGCGAUCGGGAGAAGGUAGUUCAAGGAACUCGGCAAAAAAUCUGGACGUAAUCUAGAGAGAUGUCCUUCCCGCCUAUGGCGGGACGCAGCGAAAGAUUAUUCCCCGACUGUUUAACUAAAACACAGGUCUGUGCAAACUUGAAAGAGAAAGUAUACAGGCUGAGGCCUGCCCAGUGCUCGUAAGUUAAGUGGAUGGCUGAGAUUACAUCAAGGCUUGAAAUGAAGCCCGAGUGAACGGCAGCAGUAACUAUGAGCCGAAAGGCCGUUGUAGUUAAAAAAGUCGACUAUAUGCUGGAAUAUCUGGAGUAUCUAGCACUAGUUUAUUUCGGGUAUAUUUCGGAGUAGACUGAAAAUGUGUCUAGUGCAGACAAUCAGCAGGAAAGGUUAAAGACAGGACAUUUUUUGGCAGGAUUUGUUGAAGGCGAAGGAAGUUUUAAUAUUUCCAUACGCCGUAAAGCAGACUAUAAAGUAAGUUGGCAGGUGGUGUUGAGCUUUAAUGUAUCUCAACGCGAUCCAUCACUUUUAUAUUUGCUAAAACAAACUCUUGAUUGUGGGAUUAUUAAAAAACGUUUUGAUGGUGUUUAUUCGUUUGAUGUGACAACACCUGCGGACGCGAUUUAUAAAGUAAUUCCAUUUUUCCAAGAAUUUCCGCUUCGUUCAAAGGAUAAAAUUCGUAACUUUAACUUAUUUGUUAAAGUGGCGAAUUUAAUGAAGAACGGAGAACACAAAACCCAAGAAGGACUGUUUAAUAUUCUGAGCAUCAGAGAGAAAAUAAACUUGGGUAAGGGGAGGACUAGAAAAUAUUCGAUUUUCGAUGUAUUUCCCAAUCUGUCUUUAGAAUCCCCAGAGACUAUACGUCGACUUCGGCAAUCGCCGAAAUGAUAUAGUCCGGACUCCAUGGCGACAUGGAGAGACGUAACCAAUCGUCCUUUGUAACAAAUCGAACUGUUCUAUGGUAGCGAAGUUCCUUGUCGGGUAAGCGGCGGAAGCAAGCCCGACGUAAAAAACUGACUCAUAUCGGUGGAGCCUCUUGACCUUCGGGUUUUAUAAGGUCAGGAUGGUAAUACCGAGGGAAGUCGUCCGGUUGAUAACUGGAUUGACCCCGUAACGACUUAGGAUGCACGUACAUCCU
RNAcentral lists this ribosomal RNA (2832 nucleotides) under Candidatus Amesbacteria bacterium RIFOXYB1_FULL_47_13. RNAcentral's name for it is "bacterial LSU rRNA". The stretch from base 5 to 2049 matches the Rfam family "Bacterial large subunit ribosomal RNA", at positions 15 to 2044 of the family's 2925-position model. Lineage: Bacteria; Candidatus Amesiibacteriota. The record is from RNAcentral.